AGCAGUCGCCACGGUAAUACGUAGGGUGCGAGCGUUGAUCGGAAUUACUGGGCGUAAGCGUGCGCAGGCGGUUGUGUAAGACAGGUGUGAAAUCCCCGGGCUUAACCUGGGAACUGCGCUUGUGACUGCACAGCUAGAGUAUGGCAGAGGGGGGUGGAAUUCCACGGGUAGCAGUGAAAUGCGUAGAGAUGUGAGGAACACCGAUGGCGAAGGCAGCCCCCUGGGCCAAUACUGACGCUCAUGCACGAAAGCGUGGGGAGCAAACAGGAUUAGAUACCCCCGUAGUCCCUGUCUCUUAUACAC
This 303-nucleotide ribosomal RNA is filed under the name uncultured bacterium. RNAcentral's name for it is "partial 16S ribosomal RNA". It matches the Rfam family "Bacterial small subunit ribosomal RNA", at positions 507 to 809 of the family's 1533-position model. The record is from RNAcentral.